RNAcentral lists this long non-coding RNA (5831 nucleotides) under Sus scrofa (pig). RNAcentral's name for it is "lncRNA (ENSSSCG00065002419.1)". The record is from RNAcentral. Lineage: Eukaryota; Metazoa; Chordata; Mammalia; Artiodactyla; Suidae.
AGUUCAAGGCAAGGGAACCAAGCUGAGAGAGGAAGGAGGAAGAAGAAACUGUAUCUAGACAUCCUUGAGUUUUGCUCUUUGGAAACCCUCACAAGUGUUCUGUGUUUUGUUUCUCUGCCAGGAGAAUUCCUGGUCAGUCUGAGCUUCAGGCUCUUUUUCCCCAGCAGUGUGAUUUGUGUCAAAAAGCCACUCUCAACAACUGCCUCAGCCUUCUGAUUUUUCUCUCUGAUGCUCUUGCUUUUACUUCUGAAUAAGUACAUGUUGGGCAGUUAGCCAUUGCCAGGUGUAGGGUUCACUUUCCAAAGCCCUGAUCAACGCCAACCACUGUGCUUUGACCGAGGCCAUCAGGACCCAUCAAUAAUAGCAACAACUGUUUAAAGUGACCUACAGACAGCCGGCUCUCAGUAUCCGCGGGUUCCGUAUCCACAGAUUCAGUCAACCGCGGAUCAAAAACAGCACAUGAUCUGCGGUUGGUUGAAUCUGUGGAUGCGGGACCCAUGGAUGUACAACCUGCGGAUACAGAGGGCGAUUAUGGAACUUGGACAUUUGUGGAUUCUAGUACCCACCUGACGAGGUGGGGUUGGGUCCUGGAACCAGUACUCCUCGGAUACCAGGGGAUUAUUGUAAGUUUGGCUCUGGGAUCUGGGCUCAGCCAAAACGUGUGCAGGUGCCUGAGAAAGAGGAAGACAGGGUCUUACACACUGACCUGUGACCAGUCUUGCUAAACAGCCAGACAAAAGGGGCGCUGAGUCAUGACCGUGCAGAUUGUUGGGUUUUUGCUCACUUCAGAUGGGUUGUGGUCAUUGGUGCAUUAACAGAAACUAAUAGAUUUAGAUAAACCCCACAGUAAUCCCACACGCCAAUGCCUGAAUCCCAAAGCACAUAGGAUUCUGAUCAUCAGUGAAACAUCGCCUCAUUAUUGAGGGGACAGCAGCCCUGGGACCCUGGCUGGGGACCCGGGGAGCCGCAGAUGUUUCAGCUUGCUGCAAAUGGAAUUGCUGACCAGUCAAUACAGAAUGCUUCCUCGGGAGUGUGGCGUCAUUGAUUUAUGAAUUAUGGCCCUUUUAAACUCUCUGCGUGCCUUCUCAGAUAUCGACGUUUUAAAAACCGAUUUCUCAUGUGGAUCCUUUGCAGAAACACACACAGGGCCCGAGAUUAGUGUUUAUGGCAGAAUAAAUGGAGUGAAGCACUCUAGGCCCUUGUUUCCUUUGAAUAAUGAAUUAUUCAGGGAGAGAUUUUUGUUUUGGAAAAUGGCAAAUGCAUUGCCAGGACACACAGGAAAGGACUGCGCUCAGGGUUGGGUUCCUUCUCGUUUAGGGAAGGGUUAAUCAGCCUGAAUGAAGCUAGAAGCUCAUCUUCCCUGCUCCUGCCUGCAAACCUUUUGUGUGGUUCCAAGUGCCUGGGGAAGAACCUGGGCAUUGCUGUUGCUUGAAGGCUCAGGAAAAGCGUGAUGCCCUCCCAUCCUGGGAGGGAGAAGUGUGGCUGAGCUCUCAUCUUCCACAUUUGCGCUUUUCCUUCUGAGGGUCUCUGGCUUCCUGUCCUCCUCCCGUGGUGCCAGUUUUGGGUGGCCAAAGGGCCCUCCUUCUCCAGUAAUAAUAAUAGUAUUCUCUAGUAAUAGUAAUCAUAAUUAGAGUCAUCGUGUGCAGGUCACCCACUAUGUGCUUGGUCACAGUGCUGGGUGUCAGUGUCCGCCAGUUCUUAUGGAACCACCUUGGGGAGGGGGCCCUUACGGCCCCAUUUCUUUUUUACCAGAGGAGGAAACUGAACCUCAAAGAAGGAGAUAUUUCAAGAUCACAGAGGUAAAGAGAGCAGAGUGACUCAGAGGCAGUUUUUGUUGUGGGUUUGUUGUCAUUUUCGAACUCUUUUCUUUAUUCCCUAUACCCCCCUAACCUCGUUGCUGACAAGUUGAGCGGCCGACGUCCACCUUCCUGAGGAUGUGGUGCCGGCCCCUCAUCCUUUCCUCGGGAUCCCACCCUGCUAGGGUUUCCAGAGGCCACAGCACCCAGGCUGACGAGCCCUUAGGGCCGCCUGGCCUCAGGGUUCUUGGUCCUGCUGGGUGCCGGUGUGUCUCUGGGACCUUAUCUUGAUCAGAGCUCACACCUGGGGCUCUUGCUCUUAAGACAUCUUGCUCGAGGCCCUUUCUGCUUCUUAUCUCCUGCUUUUGACCUCCUCUCCACGGCACACCCAUGCUCUGCUCUCCCUUGAACCUUGAAUGCUUGAACAUUCUCAGUUUACCCAGCCUUGUGCUGCUGCGGAUGGUGUAGUCAGGUACUUCUAACUCACACUCCCUGGCUCCCUGGGCUUUGAUUCCCUCCCCAGGGACCUCCAAACAAUUGGCCCCUAUGCUCUGUGCCCUUUCGCACUUCGUUGUCUGCCAACCCCACCCAGAGGGCCAGGAGCAGAGCAGAGUUGGGCAAUGUCCUAGGACUCCAUGCUUUUGUCCACUACAGAUUUACACUUUUUUUUUUUUUUUUAAGGAUGAUCCUCACUGAAGCAUGGCAGUGUUUUAAAUAUUUUUCCUAUUACAUGCAGAUAAUUGCAGGCAUUCAGAAAAGCUGAAAAGAAUAGAAGAGGAAACAUGUCAUCAUCUCUAAGGAAUUUUCCCAUCCUUUAUCACCCUUCACUCUAGCCUUGCGUGCAUUUCUUUGAAUGCCCUUAUUCUUCACACCUCUGUGCCUUUGCCCAUGCUGUUCCUUGAGUGUAGAAUGCCAUUCCUUGCUCUACUUGUCUAACGCCGGCUAAGUCUUUGACAUCUUCCCCAGGAGUCCCACCCCAAUCCUUGCUCCAGAUUAGUCAUCCCUCUUCUAUGGUCACAAAAUGUCCAGGUGGAGUUAGUGUAAUGGGGCUGGUAACACAGAUUCUGGAGCCUGGCUGCCUGGAUUCCGAUCCUAGCUCUUACUAGCGGGAACCUUGGGCAGUUCCUUAGCUUCCUAUGAUUCAGUGUCGUCUUGUCUAAACAAGGUGUUAAUAAUUUCUAUUUCUUGGAUGUAAUGAGCAUGAAAUGAGUUAAUAUAUGCUAUGCGCUGAGGGCAAUGCCUGAUUCUUAUGUAAGGGUUGGCUAUUGCUGGUUUCUGAUGAGAGCAUUUAGUAUUUACCAAACUGAAAUUAACACUGACCUUGAACUUGAGAGGAGGCACUGCCUUAUCUUGACUUGGGCAGUCUAAUUCCAGGCAAGUCAACGUAGCCUCUCUGGCCUCGGCUUUUCCAUCUGCUGAAUGAGAUCACUACAGAAUCUACUUCACUGGGGAGCUAGGGAGCUGGAGAGCUGAAAUGAGGAAAUAGAGGGAGCGGGCUGAAAACAGUGGCUGGUAUGUCGUGGUUAAUAGGCCGAGCCCUUGUUAUUAGCUAGGGUGCAAAUUUCUCCCAGGUCCAGGUCGAAAAUGGUAGCACUGGAAAGGUCAUGAGGUUUUUUUAACUUUAUAGAUAAAGAUAAUAAAGUUGUUUAAAAAAGAAUCAAGGUCACAUAGCUCUGUUUGCUAUUUUUAUGAGACAUCACAGCGCAGGAGACCACGUGCCUCGUGUGGGCUAAGGUGUUUCAGACAACGCACACUUGAGAGGGGCUUGAGAGCGGGCAUAGUCAUGCUUUCUGUGGAGUGUGCGAUAUUUUCGCACUGCCUGUUAUCUCCUCAGUGUUGGUGGGUAUCCUCUUUGUCCCUGUGGGGAAAUGUCCCCCAAGCCCACUUUAGAGGCCACUUGCAGAGUUCAAGACCCAGGUCCCCUGAUGCCUUCUGCCUUAUUGCUCAGUCUUCUAUGAGCCAAACCCAGACCAAAGACGGCUGGAUGGAUGGUUGGGGGAGGAGGAGCCAUGAACCCCCUUGUCCUUACUGGGGUGACCCAGCAGUCUGUGACCGGGAUGACAGUGAGGCCCCGCUUUCCCCAGACAGUCCUGGUUUACGCUUGUGGACCCAGUAAAAUGGUGCAUAGCACGUUCACUCUCACAAGUGUCCUUUCCAGAGCUUGGCGGCCACAUCUUAUUUUGUAGCCUUCCAGCAGGCUGCUUCUAGGCACACGGCUGAAAUCGCUGUUCCCUUCAAUUGACUCCUUGUGCAAAGCCAGUCGAGUGCGCUGAUGCUCUGGAAGGUGGCGGAGCCCCUCAGAGAGACUGAAAUUUAAACAGGUCCCUUUCAGAGGGUCUCACCUGCUGGGCCAGCCACCUGUUGGAAAGGACGGCUGGGUCUUCACACACUCAGGAAGGGCUGUCUUGCACUCCAUUGCUUCGUGUUGUUCUAAGUCCCGUCCUUUUGACCUGGAACUGCCUUGGCACCCUUGGUGUUCGUCUUUCAGUGUCAAUGCUGCCAUGCCAUACCUCAGUAAAGGCCGAGCGGCUCAGGUAUCCAGCUGGAUUUUAGCUGAAGGAGAAUGCAAAUUGCCAGCACAGCAAAACCCUGUGCUGGGCUUACGGAGCCCCUGGAUUUGCCAAAAACCAGGAAUGGAGCCUUGUUCCCAUUUCUUCGUUUUAUAUUCCCAGGAAGAAUUCUUGGGGAUGCAUAAUGUGAUAAACCCGGGAGCCAGCUCCUUGGUAUCCUUGGUGAGGCCAAGAUUAAUGAGGUUUCCAGGGCCACCAUGCUAUGUUCUUUGUCCCAGCUGAAUCUCAGGGAGCAGCAGAGUCAUUUGUGCAAAUCAAGUGCACAGCUGAAACCACUGUUGCUUUGGUGUGGGCUAAAUGAGAUUGUAAAAGGCAGAUGGGAAAUAUAAAGAAAGAAUUAAAGACUACAAAAGGGGAAUUUACAUCAUGGAGCUAGGUUAUAAUAUGAGGUAGGCUUUAUUGUGUCCAUAGUACAGAUGUAGAAACUGAAGCUCCCAGUAGUGAACUCAUCUCAUAAGCGGUGAAGCUGUGGUUUGAACUUGAGAGUCCACCGUCUCACCACUGAGACACACCGAUUCCCCUUUAGGCUCGUACACAGGCCUGCCUCCAGCCUUACAGGACCUGGUGUAGGGGCUAACAUGCAUCCACAUACCAGGAAUCUUAAUACUGAAACAAGUUCACUGUUAAAUAAAACAUGUUCUAGCUUCCUGGCUUGACAAAUACGCUUUUCGAAUGACAAAAUUUAAAAAAUGUGUAAAGCCACAGAGUUUUAUAUGAUUGAAAGUUAUUAGCAAAGUGUCAAGUUUAGCGUGCACAUUUGGUGGGAAUCUUUUCCUCCCUGAUUUUCAUUGUUUUGAUCAGUAAUUAAGUCUUGCAUCUUUAUUAAAUCAGGAAUUUGUAAAUCCUAGUUCAAAUCGUAUGUAGGUCAUGCUCAAUAGAAAUCGCCUUUCUUUCAGUGUUUUCAGUUUUUUAAAGUGUAACAUUUCCCCUCCUUACUGAUUUUUCUAUUCUUUUCAAUUUUUCUCUUUUCCCUGAGCUCGGCUUUCUUUUCUGUUUCUACUGUGAUCUCAUAUUCUCAGUGAUCUAAAGAGUCGCACAAUAAACUGUCAUUAUAUUCAAGGUAUAUAAAAAUUGAAUGUAUUUUUAAUCAAAGAUAAAUUGGAGUAAGUAUAAAAAUUUAAAAAGUAAAUUGAUGCUCUUCAAAAUAGUUAUUUUUCUUCUAAAGUAUUUAAAGUUAUCUCAUGAAAUUGAAAGGCAAAAUGUCAAUGUAAUUAAUGAAUAUUAAAUUUUAAAUAAAAAUCACUUAAUUCCUGUUGUGGCUUAGUGCUUAACGAAUCCGAUGCGGAACCAUGAGGUUGUGGGUUCGAUCCCUGGCCUCACUCAGUGGGUUAAGGAUCCAGCGUUGCCGUGAGGUGUGGUGUAGGUCACAGACAUGGCUUGGAUCCCACAUAGGCCAGCGGCUACAGCUCUGAUUCCACCCCUAGCCUGGGAACCUCCAUAUGCCGUGGGAGCGGCCCAAGAAAUG